ACGCGGAGAUCCGCUCCGGCGGAUCCGCCUCGGGACAUUCGACACGGCGCACGAGGCGGCGCGGGAGUACGACGCCGUCGCCUGGCGCCUCGGACGCUCCCGCCGGACGAUGAAUUUUCACAACGUCUGGACGCGGGAGCAGGCGGAGCAGCUCGCGCCGCCGUCGCCGGUCAUCACGCGCGAGCAGCAGCACUGCCAACGGGAGCUCGAGCAGCGCCUCCUCAUCGCCGAGCGCGACGAGGCCCUCCGCCUCGAGUGGGCGCGCCAAUUCCCCGAAGACGUCGCCGCCAUGGAAUCCUUCUAGGCGUAGAAGGAGGAGGAGAAGGCGGCGGCGAAGGCGAAGAAAAAGGCGAGCCGCGAGAAGCGCCGGGCGGAGUCCGCGGCGAGGAAGGCGGCGAGGAAGGAGGAGGAGAAGAAAAACGGCGCAGGGCCGUCCACCAUCAUCCUCUCCUCCUCCUUCUCCUUCGAGUGGACUUCGACGCCGGUGUCGGAGACUACUUCGAGUAGCCACUCGUCGGACUACGACUGUGAAUCGAAGUAGGAUUAGACUAGUUUAAAAUAAAAUGUCGCGAUGUAUCGUUGAACUUUUAAUAUAUUUCGUAUUUUCAAUUAAUUUUUCAUAUUUUGUUUGAUCUAUUUUGAAACGAAACGGUCGAACUAGCCAUUCGCGACGCGCCGCGCGCUGCAUAAUGGCGCGCCCGGCGGAGGAGCACUUUUCCCGCCCGAGCACGCGCCGCAAAAUGGCGCUUCCGGUGGGGGAACUUUCACCGCCGCGCGCGGUAUCUGUUUACAGCGCGCUGCAACAUAGGUAUAGCGCGCGGAUAUAUGCCGCGCCUGUUGGAGAUGCUCUUAGGGGUCAACAAGCCACGCUGGUACGUAAUUCUCACACGAAUUUGAUUGCCCACUUCCCAACCCAUCUUCAUUACAUGUGUAUUUGUUCAAAGUACCAUGUGUAUUCUUCAGUACUGCUCCCAAAUCUCCGGUCACUUCCAUAUGCAUUACAUCCCAGUAGUUGUUGGUUUUUAUUACGUAAACAUUCAUGGAUCUGCAAAUUGGAGUUAGUCUUCAGUUACAAUGAGGUGGGCUUGUUACUGAUCCUCACCCAGCAUGUCAGUCUUCGCAGAACUUUUGGUCUAAUCUGCCAUCAAACUUGGAGUGAUCCUAUAUAAUAGGAUUUUUUUUGUUCAUUAUGGUUAUCGCUUGUUAAUUUCUGUAGCAUAAACAAUAUGGGAAUGUGCUAUUUUGGUGUAAUCAUGCGAUGCUAACUAGGCAGAUAAGAAUGUGCUAUUCAGUAACAUUACUGUCACCAGGUGUUUCUUGUAAUGCGUGAGCGGGCAUUGCUGUUAUAGCUGUGAAUCUGUUAUAUACUUUGGGAGAAAUCUGGGAUAAAGGAAGAUGUUGCUUAUGGAUUCAUUUACUAGUUAGUUCUGAUGAGAAUUCUUGCUUGUGCCAAGCACGUAGGUUUCCAGAUUCCUUUUUUUGUGCCUGACAAGUUAUAAAUUUUCAGGAAUCUAACAAUAAAUGGGGGACGGAAGAAUAUGAAUUCAUAGGACUUGGGAGACAAAGAGCAAGAAUCUAGCGGCAAUGUUGCGCAGAUGAGAAAAUGUCAGUUGUUUGUAUUCAUGCUGUACCUAGACUGGUGUCACUUGAGGCCGCUGACAAAUUAACCAUAUUCAUGCCCGGAAAGGAACCUGUAAGCUCAUCAUUUCAUCUCUGUCGGCAGAAGAGCUUGGAAGAUUGUUGGCUCGGAUACAAGCAACAGGAGCUGACAUAGUGAAGAAUAUUAUCAAAUACUUGUGCAUUGCCAAGCUGACAGCGGGAAGCAGAGAUGCAGCGGAGGAUCUGAAGAUGCAGUGCAAUAGUCGAUAUUGGAGCUACCGUCCACACCAAAGGCCUCAGACACCCAAUGGCAGUGGCGCCUUGGCUCUUAUCGGUGGCAGCAGUAGCAGCACCUUCCUACUGGAGAUCAGCUCCCUGGGCAAGUCUCUCCGGCACUGGUUAUCACAAUGCGCCGGAGAAAAUUCUAGUGACAGUCAGAAGAUAAGCUACGGCAUGAGCUAGCGUGCAAGACAGUGACAUAAUUGUGUUGGUUAGCUGUGGUCUUUCCCACGGUAGAUAAGCUAUGGGAGUAAUCAGCGCCAGAAGCAAACUGUAAUUAGUGGAUCUAAAGACUCUUUUCAGAAGCUGGAAUUUCGUGGUACCUGAGUGGAAAUUAUGGUGUUUGUUAUGGUGUUUGCUACGGAAUUCUUACGUUCUAGACAACCGGUUCAGUUCAGUUAGUACUGAAUCCUUCGGUGAACAAUAGAGCAACAUAUGUUUGCCAAAAUAUUAUUAUGCUUUUUCCAAACAACUAAUUGAGUCA
Lolium perenne is the source of this 2362-nucleotide long non-coding RNA. RefSeq lists it as uncharacterized. Lineage: Eukaryota; Viridiplantae; Streptophyta; Magnoliopsida; Poales; Poaceae. The record is from RefSeq and is a predicted model, not a curated record.